AUUGAACGCUGGCGGCAUGCCUUACACAUGCAAGUCGAACGGCAGCACGGGUGCUUGCACCUGGUGGCGAGUGGCGAACGGGUGAGUAAUACAUCGGAACAUGUCCUGUAGUGGGGGAUAGCCCGGCGAAAGCCGGAUUAAUACCGCAUACGAUCCACGGAUGAAAGCGGGGGACCUUCGGGCCUCGCGCUAUAGGGUUGGCCGAUGGCUGAUUAGCUAGUUGGUGGGGUAAAGGCCUACCAAGGCGACGAUCAGUAGCUGGUCUGAGAGGACGACCAGCCACACUGGGACUGAGACACGGCCCAGACUCCUACGGGAGGCAGCAGUGGGGAAUUUUGGACAAUGGGCGAAAGCCUGAUCCAGCAAUGCCGCGUGUGUGAAGAAGGCCUUCGGGUUGUAAAGCACUUUUGUCCGGAAAGAAAUCCUUGGCCCUAAUACAGUCGGGGGAGGACGGUACCGGAAGAAUAAGCACCGGCUAACUACGU
Molecule: ribosomal RNA, 485 nt
Filed under: uncultured bacterium
Lineage: Bacteria
Description: partial 16S ribosomal RNA
Rfam family: Bacterial small subunit ribosomal RNA
Source: RNAcentral